Molecule: non-coding RNA, 2237 nt
Organism: Vicugna pacos (alpaca)
Lineage: Eukaryota; Metazoa; Chordata; Mammalia; Artiodactyla; Camelidae
Source: RefSeq, a predicted model, not a curated record
GGCAGAGGGCGAGGGGCCAAGUUCCCUUGGCCACAGGCCAUGGGAUCUUCUCUUCCUCUAGACACUCUUUCUCAGGGUACCCGCUGCCCUUGGGGGCUCCCAGUGGGUGGACAUCUGGCAUGGACACUUGGGCCUCGGUGCAUUUGUCCAGGCUGGGCAUUCUGUGCCUGAGGGGUGCCUGGUGGGUGGAAUGAUUCUCUUGGGGGCAUUUGUGCACUCCUGUUCCCUCCUGUGAGGGGCACAGAAGAUGGAAAGUGAAGGGCUGAUGGUCCUUGAUGGCUAUGCAGAAGGUGGAACCCAGCCUGACCCAGCCCCUGGAGAGUGGGGAGUCUUGGGGGCUGAGUGUGGAUGGGCCCCUCAGCACAGUUCUUGGCUUUCUCUUUGACAACAAAUGCCUUUAGCUAUUAUCUCCUCUGCUGUUUCUUUUUUAUUGAUUAUUUAGCCAUCCUUAUAAUAGAAAUAAACAGUAAGUAACAAAUAUGUAAAAUGAAUACCAGCUGUCUCUAGUGUGCCUAAUUUGCACAACUUAUGAGAUCAUUAUGACCACUGUUUACUAUUUAGUUGUAGGGUUGUGUUCUGUUUGUUUGUUUUAAGUUAAGUUAGUCAAAAGGCUCCACUCUGCCUUCUUGUUUCAGCUCUUAUACAAAGAUAACCAGAAGACAGAGCCAGUAGUGCAAUACGAUGUAGUGCAAGAAAUUCCAGCUCUGGGGCCAGUUGGACAGGGUUUGAAUCCCAACUUUGGCACCUGCUAGUGGGGUGGCCUCAGGCAAGUCACUUAACACUUCUGAACCUCAUUUUCACUUUUAAAAAAAAUGGAACUUUUUGAGAUAGUUAUAGCAUUUUUACUUUUGUGAAAUAAAACAGAAUUUACCAGGAUGAGUUGUUUUAGGAUUAAGAUUGUAAUCUAUGUGAGAAAUAUAUACAUAUUUCCCCCAGAAGCAAUGGUUCAGUAUUUACUAACUCAGUGCACCAGCUUUUAGAACAUUACUACCAGUUUGGGUUUUUUUGAUUGAUGUUAUUUUAGGAGUUUUCCGUAUGGUUGGUUACAUUGUCCACAUAUUUAUUAGUUUAAAUAGCAACAUAACAGUGUAUUGUAGUGAAGUAACAUAGUUUACUUACCCCCUCCCUAAUUCUUGGGAGUUCAUUGUUUCCAAUUUAGGUUUAUUAUAUACGGUGCAUCUUUAAGUCUUUGCAUGGGUCUGUGAGGGUAUUCUCUUCCUUUCUUUAAGUCAGCUCAUUGCUUAUCCAUUCCUGAAGGUGGGACAGCCGGGCCAGAGGAUGAUGUAUUUUAUGGCUAUUGUUGUUCCACAAAGAGCUACUAAGCAAUUUCAGAGUGUCCUGCCCUCCCCCUCAUCCCCAUGGCAAUUGGGUUUAUAUCUACUUACUGUUGCUAAGUUUAGAGAUUCGACCUCCCUUGUUUUUCCCACAUCCCUGGGUAUCAGGAUGGACAAAUCUUACUCUCCAUAAUUUACAGCUGGUGGAAGAGUCUAGCUGGGAGUAAGAGGUUUGUGCAGAGAACCCCCUUUGCAGCUCCUCUAGGCAGCAAGCAUUUACUAAGUGCCCGCAGUAUGAUGAGUGAAACAGAGUCCUGGCAGCGAGGAAAUCACAGUCCAGGGAAUGUCAUAGACACACAGACAGCUGCCCAAGAUCCACCCUGGUUGUGAAUCCCAGUGCUGCCACUUACCAGCUGGGGGACCCUCAGCAAGAUACUCGCCUUCUCAAUUUCUUUACCUAGAAAGUGGGUUGUUGUGAGGAUUUGAUGAGGACACAAUGUGACGUACCUACCACUGUGCCUGACUCCCAGUGAGAAUCCAGUGAGCAUUGGUUUCUCUUCCCCUCCAUGAAGAGAAAAGGCCAGAAGUGCGAGGGAGGGAGGAGGUGGUCAGAGCCUCAGGGAGUGGUGGGGUCAUGGUGAGGUCUCCCCUUUGCUAGUUUAGAAACUCCAUUUGGGCACGCUGAACACUAGUAAACGCCACACUAUCAAUCUGUGCUCUGGCUCGAGCCAGACCUCCUGAACCCCUUCGCUGCUGAGGAACUUAACCAGAGCUGGCUGCUAAGGAUGCCUCAGCCCCUCUGACCUAACACAGCAGAAAUGGUGGGCCUCCAACGGAGCAGCACCGGCUUUGCAGUCAGAGCCACUUGGGUUCAAAUCCCAGCUCUGAAGCACUUACCAGCUUUGUGAGUUAAUCUCUUUCUGAGAUUUUUUCCUCAUCAGUAAAAUGGGAAUAAUAAUAAUU